AAAGGCUUAGUUGAGUUGAGUAACUCUUAUCAAAUCAUAUGAUUCAGUUCUAUUAUCGAUUCACAAAGGUUUCAAUUCAAUUCGAAUCUCGAUUUGACAACUAUGUGCAAUUUACAUUAUUCAGAAAACCAAAACCAACAAUACAGCUUAUUUAUCUUAAGAUGGAACACAUUCUGUAAAUCCUGGAUUGUUUGUCCAUCUUCCAACUUUGCUAUAUUCCAGAACUGAUUAUUCGGUAUACAAUAUUUCUGAACGAUGUAAAUUUACCUUGGUUAUUAGAGUUUAACAAAAAAAAAAAAA
RNAcentral lists this unclassified non-coding RNA (300 nucleotides) under Hevea brasiliensis (rubber tree). Lineage: Eukaryota; Viridiplantae; Streptophyta; Magnoliopsida; Malpighiales; Euphorbiaceae. The record is from RNAcentral.